Molecule: ribosomal RNA, 253 nt
Filed under: uncultured bacterium
Lineage: Bacteria
Description: partial 16S ribosomal RNA
Rfam family: Bacterial small subunit ribosomal RNA
Source: RNAcentral
UACGGAGGGUGCAAGCGUUAAUCGGAAUUACUGGGCGUAAAGCGUGCGUAGACGGUUUUGUAAGUCUGAUGUGAAAGCCCCGGGCUCAACCUGGGAAUGGCAUUGGAAACUGGCUUGCUGGAGUGUGGCAGAGGGGGGUGGAAUUCCGCGUGUAGCAGUGAAAUGCGUAGAGAUGCGGAGGAACACCGAUGGCGAAGGCAGCCCCCUGGGCCAACACUGACGCUCAGGCACGAAAGCGUGGGGAGCAAACAGG